UCGUUUUUUUGGGUAGAAAUGAGACUGAGUUAAUGCGCAGCCUGAAAAGACGAUUUACGAGUGCAGGACGCUUCAGUUUUACAUUGAAAAAUAGUAAUUCGAAUGCAAAAGUAACGUUUUGGAAAUACAAUUCAGUUCGAAUAUCUUCUUCCACAAGCUCCUCCUCCUCGUCAUUCGAGGAAAAAGCUUUUAUAAAGUAACUCAAAGCUUUGGGAACGGUUAGGGGAGGAUCCUUCAUCCAUCUCACCUUCUUAUAUACAUGCAGAGUAGUAGGGUUGCAGCGUUUUAUCAAAAAAUAGAUUGAUCGGAGCUGUCUCCUUCAGGAUUCUAUGUAAGAGCUUGCGUCUUCACUUUCAGCUUGAUCUAUCGAUUGAGCAGUUGUGCCCAAAUUCUAGAUGAUGACUACGAUUAAGAGGAAGAAAAAGAUGAACAGAUGGGCUGGUCUUAAUUUUGAAAAAUUUGAUGAGAAUAUAAUCUUCAACAUCCUCAAGAGACUAGAAGCUGAUACUCUGUACAAUUUAAGGGUGGUAAGCAAGCAAUGGUAUAAACUGAUAUUUGAUCCUCAUUUUGCUAAUUCCAACCUCUAUUAUGCGAAUCGUUGUAUCAUUCUCCAAACCCAACUUUAUGAUUCUUAUAGAUUGGGUUUUAUAGAGAUGAAAGAAGGAGGAGAGGUCAUUGUUAGGGAUUUGAAUAUGAGUCUUAAGGAGCCAGUACGAGCUUCCUGCAAUGGCCUUGUCUUGAUGAAAGACUUCUUAAAACGUGGAGAUUUAUCUGUAGGGAAUCUUCUCACUAGAAAAGGGAUAAAAAUACCUCCUUGUACUAGUAGUAAUUUUCUGCUAGGCAAUACUUUUGGGUUCACAUAUAUUCCUCAUACAAGAGAAUACAAGAUCGUGUGCAGAUGUUGGAUGUAAGUAUUCGUUCCUAUGUUUAUAUGAUACUCACUCUUGGUUCUAAUCAGUGGAGACAAGUCAGCGGGCCUCAGUUCCAUUUGCCAUAUGAUCAAGAACCCUUUUCUAUUAACAGUUUUGUUCAUUCACUAAUUACUGAUGAUUAUCAAGUCAAGUUGUUCUCCAUAGACACUGUUGAUGAAACAUCUCAUAAGACGGCACUCCCGGGUAUUAUGGAAACAAGAUAUCAUUAUCUAAUGGAUUUUGGAGGGGUUUUAUCUCUUGUGGGACAUUCAGGUAUUCAAGCUGAAGUAUGGGUUCUGGAGGAUUUUCCUAAGAAAGAAUGGAUUAGACGUCACUGCAUCAUCCUUCAAAAUGUACACUCUGGUGCACCAAUCGGUAGCCUUGGGAAUGGCAGGGCAAUAUUAUUUGUAAACAUGUUUGAGAACUUUGGUUCUUGUUAUGUAGCUGAUGUUGAACUGCAGAAAGCAAAGCAUAGAGUAAAGCAGUUACCAUUUGUCAAGGCUAACCGAAGUCAUUGUAUACCUCACUUAAACAGUCUCAUGUCAGGUAAUUCAUUGUAAAAUCCCAUGUUGUAAUUUCCUUUACUAUUAUACUUUACUUGCCAAGGUUUGGAAGGUUUUGCCGUAAGGAUUACCA
This is a long non-coding RNA of Macadamia integrifolia, 1547 nucleotides long. RefSeq lists it as uncharacterized. The record is from RefSeq and is a predicted model, not a curated record. NCBI's taxonomy places the organism in Eukaryota, Viridiplantae, Streptophyta, Magnoliopsida, Proteales, Proteaceae. The transcript has 2 exons.